Molecule: ribosomal RNA, 1247 nt
Filed under: Aster yellows phytoplasma
Lineage: Bacteria; Bacillati; Mycoplasmatota; Mollicutes; Acholeplasmatales; Acholeplasmataceae
Also listed under: 2 other names
Description: bacterial SSU rRNA
Rfam family: Bacterial small subunit ribosomal RNA
Source: RNAcentral
GGAAACGACUGCUAAGACUGGAUAGGAGACAAGAGGGCAUCUUCUUGUUUUUAAAAGACCUAGCAAUAGGUAUGCUUAGGGAGGAGCUUGCGUCACAUUAGUUAGUUGGUGGGGUAAAGGCCUACCAAGACUAUGAUGUGUAGCCGGGCUGAGAGGUUGAACGGCCACAUUGGGACUGAGACACGGCCCAAACUCCUACGGGAGGCAGCAGUAGGGAAUUUUCGGCAAUGGAGGAAACUCUGACCGAGCAACGCCGCGUGAACGAUGAAGUAUUUCGGUACGUAAAGUUCUUUUAUUAGGGAAGAAUAAAUGAUGGAAAAAUCAUUCUGACGGUACCUAAUGAAUAAGCCCCGGCUAACUAUGUGCCAGCAGCCGCGGUAAUACAUAGGGGGCAAGCGUUAUCCGGAAUUAUUGGGCGUAAAGGGUGCGUAGGCGGUUAAAUAAGUUUAUGGUCUAAGUGCAAUGCUCAACAUUGUGAUGCUAUAAAAACUGUUUAGCUAGAGUAAGAUAGAGGCAAGUGGAAUUCCAUGUGUAGUGGUAAAAUGCGUAAAUAUAUGGAGGAACACCAGUAGCGAAGGCGGCUUGCUGGGUCUUUACUGACGCUGAGGCACGAAAGCGUGGGGAGCAAACAGGAUUAGAUACCCUGGUAGUCCACGCCGUAAACGAUGAGUACUAAACGUUGGGUAAAACCAGUGUUGAAGUUAACACAUUAAGUACUCCGCCUGAGUAGUACGUACGCAAGUAUGAAACUUAAAGGAAUUGACGGGACUCCGCACAAGCGGUGGAUCAUGUUGUUUAAUUCGAAGGUACCCGAAAAACCUCACCAGGUCUUGACAUGCUUCUGCAAAGCUGUAGAAACACAGUGGAGGUUAUCAGUUGCACAGGUGGUGCAUGGUUGUCGUCAGCUCGUGUCGUGAGAUGUUGGGUUAAGUCCCGCAACGAGCGCAACCCUUAUUGUUAGUUACCAGCACGUAAUGGUGGGGACUUUAGCAAGACUGCCAGUGAUAAAUUGGAGGAAGGUGGGGACGACGUCAAAUCAUCAUGCCCCUUAUGACCUGGGCUACAAACGUGAUACAAUGGCUGUUACAAAGGGUAGCUGAAGCGCAAGUUUUUGGCGAAUCUCAAAAAAACAGUCUCAGUUCGGAUUGAAGUCUGCAACUCGACUUCAUGAAGUUGGAAUCGCUAGUAAUCGCGAAUCAGCAUGUCGCGGUGAAUACGUUCUCGGGGUUUGUACACACCGCCCGUCA